RNAcentral lists this long non-coding RNA (1054 nucleotides) under Capsicum annuum. Its description in RNAcentral is "long non-coding RNA (CANN_LNC022344)". Lineage: Eukaryota; Viridiplantae; Streptophyta; Magnoliopsida; Solanales; Solanaceae. The record is from RNAcentral.
AGACAUAAUAUUCUCAGAAGACAUUAAUAAUUUAAUUUCACAUGGUAAUAUCAUUAUUUAUAAAAGUAACGACUAAUUUUGAUUUAUAAAAUAUUAGUCAUUUGUUUAAAAUGCAUUACCUUGAAUAUUAUGAUGAAAACUUUAUUUAUUAAUAUGAAGAUUUGAUAAAACUUUCUAAAAUACUUUUAAUAAAAAAUAGAUAGUUAUUCUUUUCUAAUUUAAAUUUUGUACAUUUUAUAUUUUAUAUUUUUUUUUGGUAAAUAAAGAAUUUUAUUACCAAGUGUAGGUUACAAGGCAUAAGGCAUCAAGCAUCAAGUUUGGACAACUCCAAACUUGAACUUCCGAAGGACCUAUACAACUAGUUCUAGAACCACACAGCCAAUCUAUGGAUAAUUCUAUUCCUCACUUUACUACACUUACCACUACAACAGUGUAUUUCCUGAACACAACAAAUCAUCUAUAGUUUUUCACCUGACUAGUCUAUCUUUGGAAAGCAACCUAUAAUUAAGAGCAAGAUAGAGAAUAAAGCACCACUUUAGUGCCCUCGUGUUGUUACAUAAUAGUUUCCUUCAAGCCAGCCAUUUUCGAGAAGUCACCCCUCAUCUUUUGGUAGAUCUUCUCUAUAAAGAAUGAUUUCAGUUGAGUAACCUCUACAGAGGAGUAACCACCUGCAGCAACUUUCUUCAUAAUCCACGAGAUUUGAGGGAUCUGCACAUCCCAAAUUUCCUUUCCUUUGAUAUAAUAACUAUGAACACAUUGAAUCCAAGUGAUGAGGAGGGGCGCGGAUGCCCCAGUUUGGAGGUAUGAGAGGCUAACUAUGGAUGGUUUCAGGAGGAGCAGAGGCAGGCCGAAGAAAUACUGAAGGGAGGUGAUUAGAUAUGACUGCUCCAACUGACUUGAGGACAUGACCCUAGAUAGAAAGGUGUGAAGGUUACAAAUAAGGGUAGAAGGCUAAUGGGAGUGUGUGGGUUGUAGCUUGCAGUCCGGGGUGUUAUGGCGUAGCCGGGUUAGUAAUCCGAGGCUUGUACAUAGGUGUCCUUGGUUUGUGUNNNNN